Molecule: ribosomal RNA, 482 nt
Filed under: uncultured bacterium
Lineage: Bacteria
Description: partial 16S ribosomal RNA
Rfam family: Bacterial small subunit ribosomal RNA
Source: RNAcentral
AUUGAACGCUGGCGGCACGCUUUACACAUGCCAGUCGAACGGCAGCGCGGGGCAACCUGGCGGCGAGUGGCGAACGGGUGAGUAAUAUAUCGGAACGUACCCAGAAGUGGGGGAUAACGUAGCGAAAGUUACGCUAAUACCGCAUACGAUCUACGGAUGAAAGUAGGGGACCGCAAGGCCUUAUGCUUUUGGAGCGGCCGAUAUCUGAUUAGCUAGUUGGUGAGGUAAAGGCUCACCAAGGCGACGAUCAGUAGCUGGUCUGAGAGGACGACCAGCCACACUGGAACUGAGACACGGUCCAGACUCCUACGGGAGGCAGCAGUGGGGAAUUUUGGACAAUGGGCGCAAGCCUGAUCCAGCAAUGCCGCGUGAGUGAAGAAGGCCUUCGGGUUGUAAAGCUCUUUUGUCAGGGAAGAAACGGUAGAGGCUAAUAUCCUUUGCUAAUGACGGUACCUGAAGAAUAAGCACCGGCUAACUACGUG